AUUGAACGCUGGCGGCAGGCCUAACACAUGCAAGUCGAACGGUAACAGAAAGCAGCUUGCUGCUUUGCUGACGAGUGGCGGACGGGUGAGUAAUGUCUGGGAAACUGCCUGAUGGAGGGGGAUAACUACUGGAAACGGUAGCUAAUACCGCAUAACGUCGCAAGACCAAAGAGGGGGACCUUCGGGCCUCUUGCCAUCGGAUGUGCCCAGAUGGGAUUAGCUAGUAGGUGGGGUAACGGCUCACCUAGGCGACGAUCCCUAGCUGGUCUGAGAGGAUGACCAGUCACACUGGAACUGAGACACGGUCCAGACUCCUACGGGAGGCAGCAGUGGGGAAUAUUGCACAAUGGGCGCAAGCCUGAUGCAGCCAUGCCGCGUGUAUGAAGAAGGCCUUCGGGUUGUAAAGUACUUUCAGCGGGGAGGAAGGGAGUAAAGUUAAUACCUUUGCUCAUUGACGUUACCCGCAGAAGAAGCACCGGCUAACUCCGUG
RNAcentral lists this ribosomal RNA (490 nucleotides) under uncultured bacterium. RNAcentral describes it as "partial 16S ribosomal RNA". It matches the Rfam family "Bacterial small subunit ribosomal RNA", at positions 30 to 507 of the family's 1533-position model. The record is from RNAcentral.